UUGACCUCGGAUCAGGUAGGGAUACCCGCUGAACUUAAGCAUAUUCAAUAAGCGGAGGAAAAGAAACCAACAGGGAUUGCCUCAGUAACGGCGAGUGAAGCGGCANCAGCUCAAAUUU
This 118-nucleotide ribosomal RNA is filed under the name Nephroma cellulosum var. isidioferum. RNAcentral's name for it is "partial 26S ribosomal RNA". It matches the Rfam family "Eukaryotic large subunit ribosomal RNA", at positions 1 to 116 of the family's 3401-position model. Lineage: Eukaryota; Fungi; Ascomycota; Lecanoromycetes; Peltigerales; Nephromataceae. The record is from RNAcentral.